RNAcentral lists this long non-coding RNA (693 nucleotides) under Pan troglodytes (chimpanzee). RNAcentral's name for it is "lincRNA". Lineage: Eukaryota; Metazoa; Chordata; Mammalia; Primates; Hominidae. The record is from RNAcentral.
GAUGACCCGGCCGCCGCCGCCGCCCUGCAACCGCUCCCCGGGACCCGUCAACGCUGACACUGAUGACCCGCGGUGGGGGCGCUGGGCGCGGGGUGCGCAGGCCACUGGCCGCGGGCUCUCGGGCCCACUCCUGCCGCCGGCUUCCGCUGCUUCCGCGUGCCGUGGACACUGCCAGAAUUUGUCAAAGGUCCUAGGAAGAAAAGGCUCUUUCACCCCUCCCCUCAAUGAACAGAUGGUGUGUUUGGACUGUUCGCAUUCGCUCCUCAUAGGUGGGAUCCUGGAGGAAGUUAAGGGGUGCUCCGUUCCCUGGGGAUGGGACAGCAGCUCGCCUUUUUACUAAUAGCUAUAAGGGACUGUCAGACAUUUACCUGACUAGACCUUCACCUCAGAGCUCAGAAGGGGAACAGCUCCAGAACUAAAAGAGAGAGCCUCUGGCAGACCCCAAAAGACAGCAUGUGGAGUGAAGCUGGGCUUCCCUGCCCAAUCACUAGGAUCAUUUAUUGCACAAAUACCUGUAUUUUAAGCGGCAGAUUAUUGUGAAUUUUUGUAUUUUCUUCAUUUCCAUUUAGCUUUUUUUCAAUUUUAGAAUAGCCUUUCUCUAGAUAACUCGAGGAAGUGGGAGACAGAAUUUCCUUUGUUUCUGUCUUGAGCCCAAAGGGACAAUUGAGUGUCAGGUAUGACAGGGAUAAAGGG